GCGCAGCAGUCGAGAAACUUUACAAUGUGCGAAGCACGAUAAGGGAACUCUGAGUGCCUCCUAAGGAGGCUGUUCUGAUGUCUAAAAGCAACAGAAGUAAGGGCUGGGUAAGACCGGUGCCAGCCGCCGCGGUAACACCGGCAGCCCAAGUGGUAGCCACGUUUAUUGGGUCUAAAGCGUUCGUAGCCGGCCAGGUAAGUUCCUUGGUAAAUUUAGCCGCUUAACGGUUAAGCUUUCGGGGAAUACUGCUUGGCUUGGGACUGGGAGAGGUCAGAGGUACUCCGGGGGUAGGGGUGAAAUCUAUUAAUCCCUGGGGGACCACCGGUAGCGAAGGCGUCUGACCAGACCAGGUCCGACGGUGAGGGACGAAGGCUAGGGGCGCGAACCGGAUUAGAUACCCCCGUAGU
RNAcentral lists this ribosomal RNA (407 nucleotides) under uncultured microorganism. Its description in RNAcentral is "bacterial SSU rRNA". It matches the Rfam family "Archaeal small subunit ribosomal RNA", at positions 330 to 745 of the family's 1478-position model. The record is from RNAcentral.